GGAGGGUGCAAGCGUUGCUCGGAAUUAUUGGGCGUAAAGGGUAGGUAGGUGGUCUCGUUUGUCUGGGGUGAAAGCCUUGAGCUUAACUCAAGAAGUGCCCCAGAAACGGCGAGACUAGAGUCUUGGAGAGGGUCGUGGAAUUCCCGGUGUAGCGGUGAAAUGCGUAGAGAUCGGGAGGAACACCAGAGGCGAAGGCGGCGACCUGGACAAGUACUGACACCCAACUACGAAAGCGUGGGGAGCAAACAGGAUUAGAUACCCUGGUAGUCCACGCUGUAAACGAUGGGUACUAGGUUUGGUGGGUCUUGACCCCCGCCGAACCGGCGCUAACGCAAUAAGUACCCCGCCUGGGAAGUACGGUCGCAAGACUA
RNAcentral lists this ribosomal RNA (371 nucleotides) under uncultured bacterium. RNAcentral describes it as "bacterial SSU rRNA". It matches the Rfam family "Bacterial small subunit ribosomal RNA", at positions 527 to 896 of the family's 1533-position model. The record is from RNAcentral.